AAAGCUGAAGAGUGUGGUCAAUGCCAUAUUGACGCAUAAAAAGAACAAGUGAGGCCCCCGGUCCAAGUUCCCACUCUUCCUGCUGAUGGCAACGAGAACUUCAAUAGAAUCAGGAAUCAGAAAUGCUGCCAGAUCUGUCAAGUAUUUGCAGCAUUUUUGGAUGCUCAGUCGAGGAGUUUGGAAAAGUUAUGUUCUCACUUUUAAAUUUAUCGCUCCUU
This is a non-coding RNA of Chiloscyllium plagiosum (whitespotted bambooshark), 218 nucleotides long. The record is from RefSeq and is a predicted model, not a curated record. Lineage: Eukaryota; Metazoa; Chordata; Chondrichthyes; Orectolobiformes; Hemiscylliidae.